UCGAGAAUCAUUCGCAAUGGGCGAAAGCCUGACGAUGCGACGCUGCGUGAGUGAUGAAGGCCUUCGGGUCGUAAAGCUCUUUCGCCAGAGAACAAGAGAUGCCGGCUAAUAACCGGCAAAUUUGAGGGUACCUGGUAAAGAAGCACCGGCUAACUCCGUGCCAGCAGCUGCGGUAAUACGGAGGGUGCAAGCGUUAAUCGGAUUUAUUGGGCGUAAAGGGGGCGUAGGCGGAAAAGCAAGCCAGAUGUGAAAGCCCGGGGCUCAACCCCGGAACGGCAUUUGGAACUACUUUCCUUGAGGAUAGGCGGAGAAAACGGAAUUCCACAAGUAGCGGUGAAAUGCGUAGAUAUGUGGAAGAACACCGGUGGCGAAAGCGGUUUUCUAGCUUAUUCCUGACGCUAAGGCCCGAAAGCUAGGGGAGCAAACA
Molecule: ribosomal RNA, 427 nt
Filed under: uncultured bacterium
Lineage: Bacteria
Description: bacterial SSU rRNA
Rfam family: Bacterial small subunit ribosomal RNA
Source: RNAcentral